UACGAAGGUUGCAAGCGUUACUCGGAAUUACUGGGCGUAAAGCGUGCGUAGGCGGUUUGUUAAGUCUGUCGUGAAAGCCCUGGGCUCAACCUGGGAAUUGCGAUGGAUACUGGCAAGCUAGAGUACGGUAGAGGAUGGUGGAAUUCCCGGUGUAGCGGUGAAAUGCGUAGAGAUCGGGAGGAACACCCGUGGCGAAGGCGGCCAUCUGAACCAGUACUGACGCUGAGGCACGAAAGCGUGGGGAGCAAACAGG
Molecule: ribosomal RNA, 253 nt
Filed under: uncultured bacterium
Lineage: Bacteria
Description: partial 16S ribosomal RNA
Rfam family: Bacterial small subunit ribosomal RNA
Source: RNAcentral